RNAcentral lists this ribosomal RNA (1064 nucleotides) under Bacillus pumilus. Its description in RNAcentral is "bacterial SSU rRNA". It matches the Rfam family "Bacterial small subunit ribosomal RNA", at positions 357 to 1418 of the family's 1533-position model. Lineage: Bacteria; Bacillati; Bacillota; Bacilli; Caryophanales; Bacillaceae. The record is from RNAcentral.
GCAAAUGGACUCGCAUGGACGAAGUCUGACGGAGCACGCCGCGUGAGUGAUGAAGGUUUUCGGAUCGUAAAGCUCUGUUGUUAGGGAAGAACAAGUGCAAGAGUAACUGCUUGCACCUUGACGGUACCUAACCAGAAAGCCACGGCUAACUACGUGCCAGCAGCCGCGGUAAUACGUAGGUGGCAAGCGUUGUCCGGAAUUAUUGGGCGUAAAGGGCUCGCAGGCGGUUUCUUAAGUCUGAUGUGAAAGCCCCCGGCUCAACCGGGGAGGGUCAUUGGAAACUGGGAAACUUGAGUGCAGAAGAGGAGAGUGGAAUUCCACGUGUAGCGGUGAAAUGCGUAGAGAUGUGGAGGAACACCAGUGGCGAAGGCGACUCUCUGGUCUGUAACUGACGCUGAGGAGCGAAAGCGUGGGGAGCGAACAGGAUUAGAUACCCUGGUAGUCCACGCCGUAAACGAUGAGUGCUAAGUGUUAGGGGGUUUCCGCCCCUUAGUGCUGCAGCUAACGCAUUAAGCACUCCGCCUGGGGAGUACGGUCGCAAGACUGAAACUCAAAGGAAUUGACGGGGGCCCGCACAAGCGGUGGAGCAUGUGGUUUAAUUCGAAGCAACGCGAAGAACCUUACCAGGUCUUGACAUCCUCUGACAACCCUAGAGAUAGGGCUUUCCCUUCGGGGACAGAGUGACAGGUGGUGCAUGGUUGUCGUCAGCUCGUGUCGUGAGAUGUUGGGUUAAGUCCCGCAACGAGCGCAACCCUUGAUCUUAGUUGCCAGCAUUCAGUUGGGCACUCUAAGGUGACUGCCGGUGACAAACCGGAGGAAGGUGGGGAUGACGUCAAAUCAUCAUGCCCCUUAUGACCUGGGCUACACACGUGCUACAAUGGACAGAACAAAGGGCUGCGAGACCGCAAGGUUUAGCCAAUCCCACAAAUCUGUUCUCAGUUCGGAUCGCAGUCUGCAACUCGACUGCGUGAAGCUGGAAUCGCUAGUAAUCGCGGAUCAGCAUGCCGCGUGAAUACGUUCCCGGGCCUUGUACACACCGCCCGUCACACACGAGAGUUGCACAC